RNAcentral lists this ribosomal RNA (497 nucleotides) under uncultured bacterium. RNAcentral describes it as "partial 16S ribosomal RNA". It matches the Rfam family "Bacterial small subunit ribosomal RNA", at positions 28 to 507 of the family's 1533-position model. The record is from RNAcentral.
GAUGAACGCUGGCGGCGUGCCUAAUACAUGCAAGUCGAGCGAACAGACGAGGAGCUUGCUCCUCUGACGUUAGCGGCGGACGGGUGAGUAACACGUGGAUAACCUACCUAUAAGACUGGGAUAACUUCGGGAAACCGGAGCUAAUACCGGAUAAUAUAUUGAACCGCAUGGUUCAAUAGUGAAAGACGGUUUUGCUGUCACUUAUAGAUGGAUCCGCGCCGCAUUAGCUAGUUGGUAAGGUAACGGCUUACCAAGGCAACGAUGCGUAGCCGACCUGAGAGGGUGAUCGGCCACACUGGAACUGAGACACGGUCCAGACUCCUACGGAAGGCAGCAGUAGGAAAUCUUCCGCAAUGGGCGAAAGCUUGACGGAGCAACGCCGCGUGAGUGAUGAAGGUCUUCGGAUCGUAAAACUCUGUUAUUAGGGAAGAACAAAUGUGUAAGUAACUAUGCACGUCUUGACGGUACCUAAUCAGAAAGCCACGGCUAACUACGUG